GUGCACCAGUCGCGAAUUUUUCACAAUGGGGGAAACCCUGAUGGAGCGACGCCGCGUGGAGGAUGAAGGCCCUCGGGUCGUAAACUCCUGUCAUGCGGGAACAAGAAAGUGAUAGUACCGCAAGAGGAAGAGACGGCUAACUCUGUGCCAGCAGCCGCGGUAAUACAGAGGUCUCAAGCGUUAUUCGGAUUCAUUGGGCGUAAAGGGUGCGUAGGUGGCGAUGUAAGUCUGGUGUGAAAUCUCGGAGCUUAACUCCGAAACUGCAUUGGAUACUGCGUUGCUUGAGGAUUGUAGAGGAGAGUGGAAUUCACGGUGUAGCAGUGAAAUGCGUAGAUAUCGUGAGGAAGACCAGUUGCGAAGGCGACUCUCUGGGCAAUUCCUGACACUGAGGCACGAAGGCCAGGGGAGCAAACGGGAUUAGAUACCCGGGUAGU
This 434-nucleotide ribosomal RNA is filed under the name uncultured organism. RNAcentral's name for it is "bacterial SSU rRNA". It matches the Rfam family "Bacterial small subunit ribosomal RNA", at positions 346 to 794 of the family's 1533-position model. The record is from RNAcentral.